ACAGGGGGGUGGGGACCUGCCCAGGUGCCUGGGGGCACUGUCAGAGCACCACGUGCCAAGGAACACGUGGGAGCGGGGUGGCAGGGAGAGGCUGCUCCUGGGGCCUUGGCUUGCAGUGUGUCACCAGGAAGGUGUUCAGUUAGAGGAAGACAAAGGGGAGGACAGGCUGGGGACAGUGGACGGGGGCAUUGCCGCUCUGUCAUCACUGGGUCCACCUUUGAGGGGCUGGGAAGACCAGGGCCCCCCGAAUCCGGGGCUCGGCUCCACAUCCUGCCCACCAGCCUGCCAGGGAUGGACCAAACUCCAGGAGGCCCCGACACGUGAAGGAAACAGUGGUCGGAAGAGCAGGCACCCAGCUCAGGGCACUGGCAGGCAGGGCCCCGGGACUGCUUCUCCACCAGCUGCUGUGAGUGAGCCUGGUGGCCUACCCCUGCUGUCCUGGCCAGGUCGAAUUUUUGGAUGUGCCUUGGAACAACUAGGCAGCAUGUGCACACACACGCACGCACGCACAUCACACACAUCACACAUGCAUGCACACACAUCACACUCACACACAAUCAUACCACACACACAUGCACACACAUCACACACAAUCAUACCACACACGCAUGCACACACAUCACACACAGUCAUACCACACACACAUGCACACACAUCACACACAGUCAUACCACACACACAUGCACACACAUCACACACAAUCAUACUACACACACAUGCACACACAUGCACACACAUCACACACAAUCAUACCACACACGCAUGCACACACAUCACACAUAAUCAUACCACACACGCAUGCACACACAUCACACACAAUCAUACCACACACGCAUGCAGACACAACACGUACACAUGCAUGCAUGCAUGUGUAUCACACACAUUACACCACAUAUCACACAUGCACACACAACACACAUCAUGUACACACACGCCACAUACCACACACACAAACAUUAUGCACAUAUGCAUCCCACACAUGCCUCACACACACAACGUACCACACACACACACACACACACUGUGGUGAUAAAAUACAUGGGCAUGGCAUUCAGGCAGAGAUUGGUUCCAUCCCUGUUCCAUUUUUUUUUUUUUUUUCGGAGAUGGAGUCUCGCACUGUCACCCUGGCUGGAGUGCAGUGGCGUGAUCUUGGCUCACUGCAACCUCUGCCUCCCAGGUUCAUGUAAUUCUCCUGCCUCAGCCUCCCAAGUAGCUGGGAUUACAGGUGCCCCCCACCAUGCCCAGCUAAUUUUUUGUAUUUGUAGUAGAGAUGGGGUUUCACUAUGUUGGCCAGGCUGGUCUUGACCUCCUGACCUCGUGCCCACCUCAGCAUCCCAAAGUGCUGGGAUUACAGGCGUGAGCCACCACAUCCAGCCUCCUGUACCAUUAUUUUACUAGCUGUGAAUUUGGGCAAGUUACUGGUGCUCUCUGACCCUCAGUCUUUUUAUCUGCAGAAUGGGGUUACUCAAGGCACCUACUUUCUGAAAUUGUUGGAGAGUCCUUGAGCUCAGGGGGCGAGGAGGACAGAGUUUUGUGAGGCACUAUUCACCUUUCAGUGGAAACAUUUUUAAUUUUGUUUCUGUCCUGGGGGAGGAGGAGAGA
RNAcentral lists this long non-coding RNA (1602 nucleotides) under Homo sapiens (human). Its description in RNAcentral is "non-protein coding lnc-BLOC1S4-1:1". Lineage: Eukaryota; Metazoa; Chordata; Mammalia; Primates; Hominidae. The record is from RNAcentral.